UGAGGAACCCACCCUGGAGACCGGGAUAACCCUCCGAAAGGAGAGCUAAUACCGGAUGUUCUCCUCGGAUCGCAUGAUCUGAUGAGGAAAUGGAUUCCGCUUCAGGACGGCCUCGCGGCCUAUCAGCUAGUUGGUGAGGUAACGGCCCAUCAAGGCGACGACGGGUAGCCGGCCUGAGAGGGUGACCGGCCACACGUGGGACUGAGACACGGCCCAGACCUCCGUACGGGAGCAGCGAG
Molecule: ribosomal RNA, 239 nt
Filed under: uncultured bacterium
Lineage: Bacteria
Description: partial 16S ribosomal RNA
Rfam family: Bacterial small subunit ribosomal RNA
Source: RNAcentral